This is a long non-coding RNA of Anguilla anguilla (European eel), 196 nucleotides long. RefSeq lists it as uncharacterized. The transcript has 2 exons. The record is from RefSeq and is a predicted model, not a curated record. NCBI's taxonomy places the organism in Eukaryota, Metazoa, Chordata, Actinopteri, Anguilliformes, Anguillidae.
UUCUCCUCCCAACACAGGAGCAUCACCUGAUAGAGAGAGAGGGAGAUCUGUGUGUCACAAUGGGAGCUAUUAUAACAUUCAUAGUGUUGCUGGGAACUUUAUUUUAUGGUCACUGUGUUGAACUCACACAGCCAGGAUCCAUGGUUUUAACACCAGGGCAGUCUCUGACCAUCUCCUGUAAAGUCUCUGGGUAUUC